GUUAUUAUGGUUCCAAUCCCAUUUUUCGUAGCAAGAUGGAAAAUAGAGAGUGUGAAAUACGCAUAGUAAACGGAACGAGUUGUGUGUUUUAUCGCUAUAUGCAUUCAGUUAAACAUGGAGUUUGGUUUAUUAAUCCUCCUGAGUGUUUAAAAAGUAAAGGAGAAGGUAAAUGUAUUGCUAAGUUUACAAAAACAAUGGGUAAUUUUUAUGGUAUAUUACAAUAUUGUGUAGUUAUAAAUAAUGAAGAAUAUAUUUUGAAUGUACGUUUUGAUAUUCCAUUAUUAGGUGAUAAUACUGCUAUGGCUGUUUUAGGUAUAAGUAUAAAAAAUAGUGUAAAACAAAUAUUAUCACAUCAGAAUUAUUUUUUAGUUAAGCAUAGUUUUGAUAAUAUGUAUAAUAGUAAAUUUUAUAUAAAUAUAAUAGAGACAGAAGAAGGGAAAAAGUUUGUUGAAUAUCAUAAAAGAAAAUUAAAAAAAGGUUUAUUAAGAGUGUUAAGUAUAAGAAAUAUAGAAGAAAAAGAAAAAUUAAGAAAAGCAAAUAUGGCUAAUUCGAUAAAAAAGUAUGACAAUAAUGGUAUGAAUAGUAAUAAUAGUAUUAUAUCUGGUAAUAAUCAUAAUAACAAUUUUUAUAAUAAUAGUAAUGUAGAAGGUGUUAGUAAUGUUGAUAGUAGUAUAUUAAUAAAUGGAAAUUGGUUAUAUAAUAAUAAUAGUAGUAAUAAUUUGUAUCAGUCCAAAGAAAACAUAAUGGAAAUUUUACCAAUUAGCUUUAUUGUUAAUAUAAAAAAUUAUGAAUGGAAAAAAAGAUUAAGAAAAGCUCAUAAAUCUUUAUAUAUUUUGAUAAUUAAUUUUACAAAACAAACUUUAGUUUUAUCCACCUCUAAAGGGAAUAGUAAAUCAACUUCAUUAAUAGAAGGUAAUUGGGUAGAGCUUCCUUAUGAGAAGAUAUGUCCAUUACGUUGUAGUGAGUUUGGCUGUAAUAGUGAUGGUAUGUUUUCAAGUAUUAAUGGCAAUUGUACAUAUAAUUUUAUGAGUGAAUCAUGUUAUUUGAAUAUUUAUUGGGAUAUUAAUAGUGUAAAUUCUAAAAUUAAAUGUAGUAUAAAAAAUACUACAAAAUAUACUAUAAUAAAAAAUGUAGAAAUAUAUAAUGAAUGUACAGCUGUUUUUCAUGUUUUAGAAUAUUAUUAUUAUCCUCCUGUAAAAAUAUUAGAAUGUAGAGCUAUAACAAAUAAUAUUAUAAAUGAAUAUGGUAUAACCAAAAAUAAUUUAGAUUCUAAUAUGAAUAUAAUACAUCAAUGUAGUAUAAAUGUAAUAAGACAAUUCUGCCAAUACACGCAAAAUAAUAAUACAUCCUAUGAAAAUUAUUCAGAUGAAGAGUUUGUAAAUAUUAAUCCUUUUUUAAAAAAAACGAUUCGCAAUCACGANNNNNNNNNNNNNNNNNNNNNNNNNNNNNNNNNNNNNNNNNNNNNNNNNNNNNNNNNNNNNNNNNNNNNNNNNNNNNNNNNNNNNNNNNNNNNNNNNNNNCCUACCUACACGACGCACUACCGACACACAUGCAAAACAAAUAUUCAUUCUCUACUAACAGUACAAGUGAAAAAAAAAAAAAAAAAAAAAAAAAAAAAAAGCCAUUUAUUUGGACGUAUUACUAAUGCAGACGGAACUGUUAAUAAAUCAUAUGAUAGUAAAAAAAAAAUAUCAGGUAAUACCAUUAUAAAUAAUACAAGUUCAGAUGAUGAUGAUGAUGAUGAUAAUAGUAGUGACAAUAGCAAUAGUAGCGGUAGUAGUAAUAGUACUAAUAACAAUCAUAUAGAUAUUUCUGAUGUGAAUGAUUUAAUACAUAAAAAUUUUAGACGCAAUAUUAAUGAUAAAAAUUUUAAUUUAUUAAAAAAAAGAAAUACUACUUCUAAUAGUUUAUUAUAUAUAAAUAUGAAAAAUAUUUUUACAAAUAUCAGCGUAACAGCUGUUCGUGAUUUUUUUUGUUAUAUGCAUGGAAAUAAUUAUUCAAAUAAUAUAUCUAUUAAUUCACAUUUGUAUAUAUCAUGGAAUAUAGGUAAUAUUAUUUAUCAAAAUUUAUAUAGUUCUAGUGAAAACAUUACUAUUAACGCUCAUAGUUUAAUAAGUAGUAAUAAUAUUAAUGACGAUGUUAUAUUAAAAUUAAAAAUUGAU
This 2162-nucleotide long non-coding RNA is filed under the name Piliocolobus tephrosceles (Ugandan red Colobus). Its description in RNAcentral is "lncRNA (ENSPTEG00000012035.1)". The record is from RNAcentral. Lineage: Eukaryota; Metazoa; Chordata; Mammalia; Primates; Cercopithecidae.